UACGUAGGGAGCUAGCGUUGUUCGGAAUUACUGGGCGUAAAGCGCGCGUAGGCGGCUUUGUAAGUUAGAGGUGAAAGCCCGGGGCUCAACUCCGGAACUGCCUUUAAGACUGCAUCGCUUGAAUCCGGGAGAGGUGAGUGGAAUUCCGAGUGUAGAGGUGAAAUUCGUAGAUAUUCGGAAGAACACCAGUGGCGAAGGCGGCUCACUGGACCGGUAUUGACGCUGAGGUGCGAAAGCGUGGGGAGCAAACAGG
RNAcentral lists this ribosomal RNA (253 nucleotides) under uncultured bacterium. RNAcentral's name for it is "partial 16S ribosomal RNA". It matches the Rfam family "Bacterial small subunit ribosomal RNA", at positions 524 to 776 of the family's 1533-position model. The record is from RNAcentral.